This 1446-nucleotide ribosomal RNA is filed under the name Bacillus halotolerans. Its description in RNAcentral is "bacterial SSU rRNA". It matches the Rfam family "Bacterial small subunit ribosomal RNA". Lineage: Bacteria; Bacillati; Bacillota; Bacilli; Caryophanales; Bacillaceae. The record is from RNAcentral.
AAGGCGGCGUGCCUAUACAUGCAAGUCGAGCGGACAGAUGGGAGCUUGCUCCCUGAUGUUAGCGGCGGACGGGUGAGUAACACGUGGGUAACCUGCCUGUAAGACUGGGAUAACUCCGGGAAACCGGGGCUAAUACCGGAUGCUUGUUUGAACCGCAUGGUUCAAACAUAAAAGGUGGCUUCGGCUACCACUUACAGAUGGACCCGCGGCGCAUUAGCUAGUUGGUGAGGUAAUGGCUCACCAAGGCAACGAUGCGUAGCCGACCUGAGAGGGUGAUCGGCCACACUGGGACUGAGACACGGCCCAGACUCCUACGGGAGGCAGCAGUAGGGAAUCUUCCGCAAUGGACGAAAGUCUGACGGAGCAACGCCGCGUGAGUGAUGAAGGUUUUCGGAUCGUAAAGCUCUGUUGUUAGGGAAGAACAAGUACCGUUCGAAUAGGGCGGUACCUUGACGGUACCUAACCAGAAAGCCACGGCUAACUACGUGCCAGCAGCCGCGGUAAUACGUAGGUGGCAAGCGUUGUCCGGAAUUAUUGGGCGUAAAGGGCUCGCAGGCGGUUCCUUAAGUCUGAUGUGAAAGCCCCCGGCUCAACCGGGGAGGGUCAUUGGAAACUGGGGAACUUGAGUGCAGAAGAGGAGAGUGGAAUUCCACGUGUAGCGGUGAAAUGCGUAGAGAUGUGGAGGAACACCAGUGGCGAAGGCGACUCUCUGGUCUGUAACUGACGCUGAGGAGCGAAAGCGUGGGGAGCGAACAGGAUUAGAUACCCUGGUAGUCCACGCCGUAAACGAUGAGUGCUAAGUGUUAGGGGGUUUCCGCCCCUUAGUGCUGCAGCUAACGCAUUAAGCACUCCGCCUGGGGAGUACGGUCGCAAGACUGAAACUCAAAGGAAUUGACGGGGGCCCGCACAAGCGGUGGAGCAUGUGGUUUAAUUCGAAGCAACGCGAAGAACCUUACCAGGUCUUGACAUCCUCUGACAAUCCUAGAGAUAGGACGUCCCCUUCGGGGGCAGAGUGACAGGUGGUGCAUGGUUGUCGUCAGCUCGUGUCGUGAGAUGUUGGGUUAAGUCCCGCAACGAGCGCAACCCUUGAUCUUAGUUGCCAGCAUUCAGUUGGGCACUCUAAGGUGACUGCCGGUGACAAACCGGAGGAAGGUGGGGAUGACGUCAAAUCAUCAUGCCCCUUAUGACCUGGGCUACACACCUGCUACAAUGGACAGAACAAAGGGCAGCGAAACCGCGAGGGUAAGCCAAUCCCACAAAUCUGUUCUCAGUUCGGAAUCAAAGUCUGCAACCCGACUGCGUGAAAGCUGGAAUCGCUAGUAAUCGCGAAUCAGCAUGCCGCGGUGAANUACGUUCCCGGGCCUUGUACACACCGCCCGUCACACCACGAGAGUUUGUAACACCCGAAGUCGGUGAGGUAACCUUUAUGGAGCCAGCCGCCGAAGG